GUCGGUAAAACUCGUGCCAGCCACCGCGGUUAUACGAGAGGCCCAAGCUGACAACACCUCGGCGUAAAGAGUGGUUAGAAAAGAAACAGACUAAAGCCGAAUGCUCUCUAAGCUGUUAUACGCCCUCGAGAAUUAGAAGCCCUAUUACGAAAGUAGCUUUAUACUAUUGAACCCACGAAAGCUAAGAAACAAACUGGGAUUAGAUACCCCACUAUG
Molecule: ribosomal RNA, 216 nt
Filed under: Hypsoblennius ionthas (freckled blenny)
Lineage: Eukaryota; Metazoa; Chordata; Actinopteri; Blenniiformes; Blenniidae
Description: partial small subunit ribosomal RNA
Rfam family: Bacterial small subunit ribosomal RNA
Source: RNAcentral